This 460-nucleotide ribosomal RNA is filed under the name uncultured bacterium. RNAcentral's name for it is "partial 16S ribosomal RNA". It matches the Rfam family "Bacterial small subunit ribosomal RNA", at positions 338 to 795 of the family's 1533-position model. The record is from RNAcentral.
CCUACGGGUGGCAGCAGUGAGGAAUAUUGGUCAAUGGGCGCGAGCCUGAACCAGCCAAGUAGCGUGAAGGAUGACUGCCCUACGGGUUGUAAACUUCUUUUAUAUGGGAAUAAAAUGUUCCACGUGUGGGAUUUUGUAUGUACCAUAUGAAUAAGGAUCGGCUAACUCCGUGCCAGCAGCCGCGGUAAUACGGAGGAUCCGAGCGUUAUCCGGAUUUAUUGGGUUUAAAGGGAGCGUAGGUGGAUUGUUAAGUCAGUUGUGAAAGUUUGCGGCUCAACCGUAAAAUUGCAAUUGAUACUGGCAGUCUUGAGUACAGUUGAGGUAGGCGGAAUUCGUGGUGUAGAGGUGAAAUGCUUAGAUAUCACGAAGAACCACGAUUGCGAAGGCAGCUUACUAAACUGUGACUGACAUUGAUGCUCGAAAGUGUGGGUAUCAAACAGGAUUAGAUACCCGAGUAGUC